Long non-coding RNA from Salvelinus sp. IW2-2015, 1212 nucleotides. RefSeq lists it as uncharacterized. The record is from RefSeq and is a predicted model, not a curated record. NCBI's taxonomy places the organism in Eukaryota, Metazoa, Chordata, Actinopteri, Salmoniformes, Salmonidae. The transcript has 3 exons.
CGUGCACGAGCUCGGCAAGUAUGCAUGCGUCUCGUGCUUAUCCUUCAGGUGAUUUUAUAUCUGAACGCACUACUGUUACCAACGCUUUGAAACCUUUAAUGCAAUUAUACUUUCCUGUGGAUAUAUUGUCUCACAUUCCUACCUCAAGAGGACCAACCAGCACAGCCAACCGGUUAAUGGUAAGGCUGAAAAUGAGGAACACAAUGGUUGCUGCCUGCUGAUUCGUCCAAAACUGCACUUCUGAUGAGUGUGGUCCAUUUCUGGAUCGGUGAACGUAACACCAUCCUGUCAGACUGAAGGAAGAACAGACAGAGGACACCAGGGCUAUAACACACACACACACGCACACACACACACGCAACCACACACGCAACCACACACACGCUCUCACCCAAAAGUGCAUCCAUAUGCUGACACAUAGAUUCUCACAAAGCUCAUCUCACACUCCCUGUCAAAAUAUUUCACCAUGGCGAUGGGUGAGACGGUGUGAGAGAGAUGGGAGGAUGUGAACGAAAUGAGAAUCAAUGAAACAAGAGACAACAAAUGACUGGAAGAGAAGAACAAAGGGGGGGGGGGGGUGCACGUCAUAGGUCAGACCACAAUGGUUCUUAAAGCCUGUGGUCUUUUAAAGAAUGCUGACAGUGAUGGGGAGGUGUUCUACUUUGGAAGCCCGUGUCUCUGCUACUGUCAUGUGAUCACAGCUGUCUCUGCUACUGUCAUGUGAUCACAGCUGUCUCUGCUACUAGCUACUGUCAUGUGACCACAGUUGUCUCUGCUACUGUCAUGUGACCACAGCUGUCUCUGCUACUGUCAUGUGAUCACAGUUGUCUCUGCUACUGAUUUGACACACACACACAUAUUUACUCUACUUUGUUCAUGUGUUUCACCUAACCUCAUGACCAAAAAUACACAGAACCCUCUGAAGUCUUUGGUGGUGUUAUGUGGACUGUGCCAAUGUGCAUUCUAUAGGAAGUGCAUCUCUAUAGAUGAAACUAACACUAACGUAUGGUUGUAUUGGAUAUGUGAGACGUACACUUCUAUGUUUCUAUUCCACUCUCUGGAUGAUUCUGACUGUGUAUCUCUCUUAGUUGGGCAGCAUAUCAACUCUGAUAACAUGGUCUUGAACCCGUUAGAUAUUAAUGAAACCAAGGAUAUCAACUCUGAUAACAUGGUCUUUAACCCGUUAGAUAUGAAUGAAACCAAGGAUAUCAA